GAUGAAGAACGUAGUGAAAUGCGAUACUUGGUGUGAAUUGCAGAAUCCCGUGAACCAUCGAGUCUUUGAACGCAAGUUGUGCCCGAAGCCACUAGGCCGAGGGCACGCCUGCCUGGGUGUCACACGUCGUUGCCCCCCCCCCAUCUACUCCUUCGGGAUUGCGGGGGGCGGAUGAUGGCCUCCCGUGCGCCUAGCCGCGCGGUUGGCAUAAAUACCAAGUCCUCGGCGACGCACGCCACGACAAUCGGUGGUUGCGAAACCUCGGUUGCCCGUCGUGUGCGUUCGUCGCGCAUCGAGGGCUCGAAAAAAUGCUCGGCUCCGGCUCGGCUUUCAACGCGACCCCAGGUCAGGCGGGGUUACCCGCUGAAUUUAAGCAUAUCAAUAAGCGGAGGA
RNAcentral lists this unclassified non-coding RNA (393 nucleotides) under soil metagenome. Its description in RNAcentral is "partial contains 5.8S ribosomal RNA, internal transcribed spacer 2, and large subunit ribosomal RNA". The stretch from base 1 to 122 matches the Rfam family "5.8S ribosomal RNA", at positions 35 to 154 of the family's 154-position model. The record is from RNAcentral.